This 980-nucleotide ribosomal RNA is filed under the name Neobacillus vireti. RNAcentral's name for it is "bacterial SSU rRNA". It matches the Rfam family "Bacterial small subunit ribosomal RNA", at positions 61 to 1022 of the family's 1533-position model. The record is from RNAcentral. RNAcentral also lists the same sequence under 1 other name. Lineage: Bacteria; Bacillati; Bacillota; Bacilli; Caryophanales; Bacillaceae.
GUCGAGCGGACGGAUGGGAGCUUGCUCCCUGAAGUCAGCGGCGGACGGGUGAGUAACACGUGGGCAACCUGCCUGUAAGACUGGGAUAACUUCGGGAAACCGGAGCUAAUACCGGAUAACACCGAGGACCUCAUGGUCCUUGGUUGAAAGAUGGCUUCGGCUAUCACUUACAGAUGGGCCCGCGGCGCAUUAGCUAGUUGGUGAGGUAACGGCUCACCAAGGCGACGAUGCGUAGCCGACCUGAGAGGGUGAUCGGCCACACUGGGACUGAGACACGGCCCAGACUCCUACGGGAGGCAGCAGUAGGGAAUCUUCCGCAAUGGACGAAAGUCUGACGGAGCAACGCCGCGUGAGCGAUGAAGGCCUUCGGGUCGUAAAGCUCUGUUGUUAGGGAAGAACAAGUACCGUUCGAAUAGGGCGGUACCUUGACGGUACCUAACCAGAAAGCCACGGCUAACUACGUGCCAGCAGCCGCGGUAAUACGUAGGUGGCAAGCGUUGUCCGGAAUUAUUGGGCGUAAAGCGCGCGCAGGCGGUUCCUUAAGUCUGAUGUGAAAGCCCACGGCUCAACCGUGGAGGGUCAUUGGAAACUGGGGAACUUGAGUGCAGAAGAGGAAAGCGGAAUUCCACGUGUAGCGGUGAAAUGCGUAGAGAUGUGGAGGAACACCAGUGGCGAAGGCGGCUUUCUGGUCUGUAACUGACGCUGAGGCGCGAAAGCGUGGGGAGCAAACAGGAUUAGAUACCCUGGUAGUCCACGCCGUAAACGAUGAGUGCUAAGUGUUAGGGGGUUUCCGCCCCUUAGUGCUGCAGCUAACGCAUUAAGCACUCCGCCGGGGGAGUACGGCCGCAGGGCUGAAACUCAAAGGAAUUGACGGGGGCCCGCACAAGCGGUGGAGCAGGUGGUUUAAUUCGAAGCAACGCGAAGAACCUUACCAGGUCUUGACAUCCUCUGACAACUCUAGAGAUAGAGCGUUCCCCUUC